AAAAAAGGCAGGACUGAAUAGACUGAAAAUUAAAAAGACGGGAAAGAGAUUACAACUAAAAAAAUGCAGGACAAAAUGUUCCAUUCAAGUCCCCCACAUAAAUCAAAAUAAAAUGGUAGCCCUUAGGGACAAAAUCAAAAGAUCAAUGUAAGAUAAAAAAAAAAAAAAAAUCGAAUAAUUUGUUGGUUGGGGGUGAAAAGUGCUGCAAUUUUUGUUUAUUUGACACCG
RNAcentral lists this long non-coding RNA (228 nucleotides) under Mytilus galloprovincialis (Mediterranean mussel). Lineage: Eukaryota; Metazoa; Mollusca; Bivalvia; Mytilida; Mytilidae. The record is from RNAcentral.